UACAGAGGGUGCUAGCGUUGUUCGGAAUCAUUGGGCGUAAAGGGCGUGUAGGCGGUUUGUUAAGUCAUGUGUGAAAUCCCUCGGCUCAACCGGGGAAGGACGCAUGAAACUGGCAAGCUAGAGUACCAAAGAGGGGGGUGGAAUUCCCGGUGUAGCGGUGAAAUGCGUAGAUAUGUGGAGGAACACCAGUGGCGAAGGCGACUCUCUGGGCUGUAACUGACGCUGAGGCGCGAAAGCGUGGGGAGCAAACAGG
RNAcentral lists this ribosomal RNA (253 nucleotides) under uncultured bacterium. Its description in RNAcentral is "partial 16S ribosomal RNA". It matches the Rfam family "Bacterial small subunit ribosomal RNA", at positions 524 to 776 of the family's 1533-position model. The record is from RNAcentral.